UCAGGCGUCGAGCGGCGGACGGGUGAGUAAUACUUAGGAAUCUACCUAGUAGUGGGGGAUAGCUCGGGGAAACUCGAAUUAAUACCGCAUACGACCUACGGGAGAAAGGGGGCAACUUGUUGCUCUCGCUAUUAGAUGAGCCUAAGUCGGAUUAGCUAGAUGGUGGGGUAAAGGCCUACCAUGGCGACGAUCUGUAGCUGGUCUGAGAGGAUGAUCAGCCACACCGGGACUGAGACACGGCCCGGACUCCUACGGGAGGCAGCAGUGGGGAAUAUUGGACAAUGGGGGCAACCCUGAUCCAGCCAUGCCGCGUGUGUGAAGAAGGCCUUUUGGUUGUAAAGCACUUUAAGCAGUGAAGAAGACUCCAUGGUUAAUACCCAUGGACGAUGACAUUAGCUGCAGAAUAAGCACCGGCUAACUCUGUGCCAGCAGCCGCGGUAAUACAGAGGGUGCAAGCGUUAAUCGGAAUUACUGGGCGUAAAGCGAGCGUAGGUGGCUUGAUAAGUCAGAUGUGAAAUCCCCGGGCUUAACCUGGGAACUGCAUCUGAUACUGUUAGGCUAGAAUAGGUGAGAGGAAGGUAGAAUUCCAGGUGUAGCGGUGAAAUGCGUAGAGAUCUGGAGGAAUACCGAUGGCGAAGGCAGCCUUCUGGCAUCAUAUUGACACUGAGGUUCGAAAGCGUGGGUAGCAAACAGGAUUAGAUACCCUGGUAGUCCACGCCGUAAACGAUGUCUACUAGUCGUUGGGUCCCUUGAGGACUU
Molecule: ribosomal RNA, 759 nt
Filed under: Psychrobacter psychrophilus
Lineage: Bacteria; Pseudomonadati; Pseudomonadota; Gammaproteobacteria; Moraxellales; Moraxellaceae
Description: bacterial SSU rRNA
Rfam family: Bacterial small subunit ribosomal RNA
Source: RNAcentral